UGGGGAAUUGUUCACAAUGGGCGCAAGCCUGAUGACGCAACGCCGCGUGGGGGAUGAAGGUCUUCGGAUUGUAAACCCCUGUCGAAUGGGACGAAAGACUCGCGAGUUAAUACUUCGCGGGAGUGACGGUACCGUUAAAGGAAGCCACGGCUAACUCUGUGCCAGCAGCCGCGGUAAUACAGAGGUGGCAAGCGUUGUUCGGAAUUACUGGGCGUAAAGGGCGCGUAGGCGGCCUACUAAGUCAGACGUGAAAUCCCCCGGCUUAACCUGGGAACUGCGUCUGAUACUGGAAGGCUUGAGUAUGGGAGAGGGAUGUAGAAUUCCAGGUGUAGCGGUGAAAUGCGUAGAUAUCGGGAGGAACAUCAGUGGCGAAGGCGGCCCUCUGGUCCAGUACUGACACUCAAGUGCGAAAGCGUGGGGAGCAAACAGGAUUAGAUACCCACGUAGUCCCUGAGCGGGCUGGCAAGGCGCAU
RNAcentral lists this ribosomal RNA (473 nucleotides) under uncultured bacterium. RNAcentral's name for it is "bacterial SSU rRNA". It matches the Rfam family "Bacterial small subunit ribosomal RNA", at positions 355 to 825 of the family's 1533-position model. The record is from RNAcentral.